UCAGGUUGAUCCUGCCGGAGAUCACCGCUAUUAUAGUCCACUAACCCAUGCGAGUCCUGGGUAAACCAGAGCGAACGGCUGAGUAACACGCAGUUAACAUCACUUUAGGUGGCGAAUAACCUUGGGAAACUGAGAUGAAUACGCCAUAGUCAAUUAUGCCUGGAACGGUUUAUUGACCAAAGCUUCGGCGCCUAAAGAUUGGACUACGGAGGAUUAGGUCGAUGUUAGGGUAAUGACCUGACAUGCCAAUAAUCCUUAGGGGCCAUGAAAGUGGUAGCCUCCAGAUGGAUUCUGAGACACGAAUCCAGGCCCUAUGGGGCGCAGCAGGGGGGAAAACUCCGCAAUGCACGAAAGUGUGACGGGGGAACUCUAAGUGCCAGCACACUGUGUUGGCUUUUCAUUAGUCCAAAUCGCUAGUGGAAUAAGUGGGGGGUAAGACCGUUGCCAGCCGCCGCGGUAAUAACGGCUCCACAAGUGGUGAUCACGUAUAUUGGGUCUAAAGCAUUCGUAGCCGGUUUGUUACGUCUUCUGUG
Molecule: ribosomal RNA, 533 nt
Filed under: uncultured archaeon
Lineage: Archaea
Description: bacterial SSU rRNA
Rfam family: Archaeal small subunit ribosomal RNA
Source: RNAcentral